Long non-coding RNA from Saccostrea cuccullata (small rock oyster), 209 nucleotides. RefSeq lists it as uncharacterized. The record is from RefSeq and is a predicted model, not a curated record. NCBI's taxonomy places the organism in Eukaryota, Metazoa, Mollusca, Bivalvia, Ostreida, Ostreidae. The transcript is spliced from 3 exons.
UUUCCCACGGGCAGGUGCGUGAGGAGAGAGGACAGAAAACGAAGCAGAAAUGCCGUUCGGGGUGACGAAAUGAAAAGUUAAUAUUUCCUAACAUCAGCCUUGACUAUGAUAAGUUUGCCUGCAGUUCCUCUGAAGAAGACGUCUCCGAUGACAACAAUCCAUUUGUUCUCAAGAAACGGAAGGUUAAGAAAUUUCCCAAGGACCUGAAG